Long non-coding RNA from Gallus gallus (chicken), 28647 nucleotides. The record is from Ensembl. Lineage: Eukaryota; Metazoa; Chordata; Aves; Galliformes; Phasianidae.
AUUUUUUCUCCUUAAAGCACAUGUACCUGGGAGGUCACAGUCUUAACAAAGUCAAAGUUUUGUGUGUUUGAGAGCUUUGCCCUACUACCAUGUAAUUGAAAUCAAGCUUUUAAAAGCUCACGGUAAUAUGUUUGUUCUUUAACCUCACCCAACGAAGAGAGAGCGCUUUGCUGAGAGAACCCAUUGUUACGCUCCUGCACUUAACUGAUAAGGAACUGAUACAACCAGUAGCAAAGAAAGAAACUAAUAAUAAUAUAAAAAGAUUCACAUGCCUUCCUUCCCCAGCAUACUAAUGCCUUGCCCAAUGAAUUUCCCAAGUUGUUAACAAAUGAGGUGCAGUAUAUUUAAUAAUAUUAACAUAUUGUUGCAAGGCUUAUUUAAUAACAGGUAGGAGGGAUGAGUUCUCAUGUCAGAAAAUGGAGGGCCUCAUGCCAUUUGGAGACCUGCUCAUUAUCCGUUCUUACAAUUUAAUGAUAUAUGUGUCUAUUACCGAGGAGAAGUAGAGGAUCUACUCAGGAACUCUGUGAGAUUGAUUGACUGGAAAAACGCAUAAAGGCUUAAACUAUCUUACAUCAUCUGCCAUGCAUACAGGACACUUUCUCUGCUAUGUGAAAAACUCUGAGCAACUGGAGACAGUGAAAAUAUGUAAAUGGGACUGGGCUGAUUUCAAGGAGAUGACAUGUGGGUUCUGAAUGUGUUCGGCAAACCAGGAAAUCACAUCCUUCCCAUUCCAGGAACCAGGACCUCAUGAGCGAACUUCACUCAGCUGUCCCCAGAUGUUCAGAUACCAAGAAGAUGACAAUGAGGAGCCUGGGAGAUGGCAUUCCUUGAACCUCAACAACUCCAACAGUCUCACAAGCAUUCAAAUGGGUUAGAGGAGAGUUUGCUCUUGUAUUUCUUCCUGUAAUAGCACACACAUAUCAGACCAAUGUUUUACACCUCUUCAACACACACAGUGGCUGAAAUGGAUAAUUUGGAAAAGAGACGGAUGGCAACAAGUGUGAGUGUGGAACACUAAUCCUUAGCUGAUUCCACAAAAGUCGUAUACUAUUUAUUCAAUAGUAAGUGAGAAUGAAGCAAGGGUCUGCCCAUAUGAGAGGGCCGGAAGUGGAAGGACUGUCAUGGAUUUCAUCUGAAUCAGUUUGCAUUCACAUGUCUUUGGUUUAAUUCUUAGGGAGCCCCAAGUGGAGCCAGGAGAUGGGCUCAGUGAUCUUCGGGGACAUUCUGUGAUUCUGUGAUUCUCCACCUAUUAGGCAUAAAUUGAAAUGGCACUGAGAACCACAGUAAAGUUCAGCAAAUUGCACAGGGAAUUGGUUUUCAUCCAUCAGUUAGGAAAGAAAAGCUUGCAGGCCAAAAGAGAUCAGAAGUCUGUACGUUGUGCUGUGUUGCCAGCAUCAGCCACUGGCAGAUCGCAAUUCAGAAGAUGAAACAGUUUGCAGUGUAAAGACAGGGAGUGUUAACUGAGAAUCUUAAAAUGAAACGUAACUGUGUAGUUAAUAGCCUUAUGACAGGGCAAAGCAGAACAAAAUACGGAACAAGAAAGGACAUCUCCCAUGCUUCUUACUACAGGAAACAAACUUUCACUAUCGAUGACAAUAGCUAUUGUAGAAGAAGAUGGAUGGCAUUGACACAGUAUGUGAUUACUAAGAUAGAUUUUCUUGGUCAAGCCAAAUAUUUUUGAUUGAAGAAGAAAUAAAUAUAUUUUUCACUUCAUGUUAUAGCUGCUGUUGUCUGAAACCCAGUGGGGAAAAACAAUUGUAAAAACAUAUUUUGUUUUCCUGAUUAUUUUCCAAAGGAACUCUGAACAAAACACAUUCAGGAGUUGAAAAAUCCAACUGGCUCUGAUGUUUCCUGUUUUCCUGGAUUGCAGCAGUGCUGAUAGUCAGAUACGGCAUGAGAAGGGUGUGGGAAAUGGCAGCAGAACAUACCCUGCCCUGUCUUGGAACAUGAGGAACUUCACCUGUGCUCAAAGAGAAGAUCGAGGAAAACUGGCAGAGGGAGGAAGCGUAUCUGGAGUGUUUUGGCUGUCGUGUAAAAUUUAAAAGAAUGUAUAAAUCCAUUGCAAAGGCUGUGUUUUGUAACAAUCUCCUUCCGUGAAUUUUGCUGGUUUCUGAAAUUCCCCAUCUGCAAACUUCUAUUAUAUUCUUCUCAGUUCUUCCCUGAUUCUUCUUUUUUUAUUAUUAUUAUUGAAUCCCCCAGGAUUUUCUAGCCAGAGGAACAUGUAGCUCUCAUAAACGAUGUAGACCUGCAUCCCUUUGGCUUCUCUGCUCUGAUGCUCAGGGAAAACCUGAAAAUAGACAUCAGGAUGGUUUCUUCACCCUCUGCCACUGUCUGACAUAGAUGACCUUCAUCAAGUCACAUCAUCACACACACCCAUUUAUAGAUCAGAGAGGGCAGUACUGCCUCAUUUGAGCACUGCUGUGGGUUAUGGGAGCCUUGCUAACUGCAGGGGCUGUGCAAAGGGAGCGCUGCGCAGGUUCAGACUGUCCCUGUGCAAGGAUUCCUCCGACGGCAGCACCGCCACGUCCCGUCUCACAGCACCUGACAACAUUCCAGUUGGAGCUUGCACUUUCAGGCAGGGGCUUUCAAGUUUGAUCCCUUCAAAUCUCUGAAGUUCACCCGCACAAUUACCUCUGCUGUUCAAAGCAAGCCAGGGCUUAGAUGGAAAUAAAGAACACGAAAGGAUUUCCCAGGGUGCUCCUGGAUACAGAGAAAAAAAAAAAAAAAAAAAAAAAGGAAUGGAAAGGGAAAAAAAAAAAGAAGAGAGAAAGAAGAAAGAGAAGAAGCAUUACACCUUGAAGUUCUUGCAGUUUAUGUGAUAUUGUGUGAUAUUAAAUGGCCAAAUUCUGUUCUCAGGUGGCUGAGAUCAAGCCCUGCUAUGCUGCUGUUGCAGCCAUCAGCACACAUCUUGGUGCUCUGUGUGCUCAGGGGGAACAGCUGUGGGAUCCCUGAGGGUAUGGGGACCUAAUUUGCCCUAAAAAGCCCAGAGGACCUUUGCUAGCAGUUGUAACACUUCUCUCAAACAGUAUUGUGUUUUCAGCUGGAGACAGCAGCUGCCCCUUGCAGAAUUCAGGCUCCAUCAGACCGAAGCUCCAUCCCGUUGUUUUAUGAGAAAUUCACAUACACAUAGCUGUAAAUUAGACAUAUCAUGGAUUAACCUGUAAUAAGCUGCUCCUUUAGGUUUAAAAUUGUUACCAAUGAGCCGCAAAUUUUAACUAUUACCUACACCUUAUUCCCUCCCUGACUCCGUUUGCCCUGUUUCCAGUGUUGACCUCACUUCCUGCUUUUCUCUUUCUUCUCCUGCUAAUUAGGCAUAUUUGUAUGUCUUAGGAGGGCACCUGAUCUUGCUGCUUAUUUCCCACUUGGAUCAAAAGUCUUUAAAAAAAGUUUCAGCUUUUAAAACACAUUUUACGAGAUGACUAUAUAUAUAACUAACCUCUUAGGAUCGAUACUGACCUACAUCUUUUUCUUCUGUCAUAAUGGGCUUAUCUUUACCUGAUGCUUAAAAUAAUCUUUUCACCUGAGCAGUUCUGUCAUUUACACUUUCUUUCUCUUUCUGUCUGUUAAAAAAACAUUGCAAGGAAAAGAAAAAUCAUCUAUUGGAUACAGCCUGUUUGCACUGGGCACACAUGUUUAUGAAUCAGAUAAGACCUUUGUGUGUCAGGUAGGUGGUGGCACUAAAAGCUUUGUAUAUCACGACAUCAAAGCAGCCAGGAGAUGAAAGAGCAUAUUUUUGCAUCAUAAACAAUAUUUACAUAUUGUGAUAUUCCAAGAAUCUUUCAUUUAAACAGGUGGAAAAACAGGGAAGCAAGCACACAUGCAAGGCAAAAUCUUACUUGUGGUUGAUGAUUAAAUUUUAUAUGGCUUUGAUAUAACCACUGCAAUUAAGUGCAGUGAUGAGCAAGGACUUGUUUUGCUCUUUAUAGGGUACACAUUGUUUACUAAUCCCUGGUUCAUAUGAUAAAUCCGUCAUCAUCUGGGCACAGCUGCAAAUAAAAUUUUAAAAGGACAAUUUUCACCCAGUGGAGCAAAUUUCAGACUUCUUCUCUCUCCUGUGCAGUCUCACUGUAUUUUUUCCCCCUGUGCAAAGCUUAAUAUAGGCAACUUUUGAACUCAGACUCAGACUUCAGCCCUUUUGUCUCCAGAUUCUAUCAAUUGUCAGGCUCUGGAUCACACAUUCUCAAUGUAAAUAGAGGCUGGAGAUUCAUUUAGCUUUGCAGCCGAAGGUGGUUGUUAAAAACUGGAACGCGCUCAAUCACUGCAAAUCAACACACUGCAAUUUUCACUUUUCCUGAUUUUGAGCAUUCAUCACCACUUGCUCUUCACCCUUGAAAAGAAGGGCAAAAAGACAAAUUACUUUAAUUAGGAAUUAGUUAUGAGAGAAUGAGGUGUUCUAAUUAUAUCUAGAACCUCUUAAAUAGUUUCACUCAGGCUUAUUUGAUUUCUUAAUUACUGAAAGAGAAAAGCCGCGUGCAAAUUGUGUCAGUUUUUUAAAAGUGAAAUGCUGUCGCUCCUUUGAUAUGAUGGAUUAGUCUUCAAUGAACAGCGGUAAGGCAAUAACACCUCUAAGACAGCACAUGCAUUAGCACAGGACAAUCUUUUUUUGUUGAAACAUUAGAUAAUCACCUUCUCUCGUAUCUCAAAAUACAUUAUUUUAUACACUACAGUGUGAAACCAUAGAUGUGACAGGCUGUAAUGAUUUAUUUAUGAGACAUUAUUCUUUGAUGCAAGAAUACAUUAGGUUAUAGAUCCCAUUUCCACAGAUAUAAUAUGUCAUGUGCUGCAUCUGAGCUCCAGUAAGAUACUGUAGGAUGUGAGUUUCAUUUUGUAUAUAUAAAACUGCAUAUAAAUAUAUAUUUUAUGGCUCUAUCAACAACCAAAGUUGAAUAGCAGUUUCCCUUUUAAUGGAUCCUUCAAAUCAUAUUUUUCCUGGGCUUGUCUGAAAAUAUAUAUCAAAUUGGUGGUAGGUCUGAAGAGACUGUGGUGGCAACAGUAUUUAGUUUAUAAAUGCUUUGAAUACUAUUCUUUGUUAUGGAUGUUGAAUGUAUCUAUUUUAGCUAUUUCAGGAAUUAUGUAGAUCAUUUUGAAAGUAAUUAUCCAGAUUAUUAGCAGCAUUUUUCAACUGUAUCUUUGCUUGUCUUAAUAACAAGUCCAACUGUAUCUGAAACACAGAGUGCAGCUCAAAUUCUGAAUCAGAAAGCGCAGCACAAAUUUAAAAUCCCUCUAAAAAUGGUUUUCAUGAUUUCUUAUUCUAUUUUUCUUCCUCUCUUCUUUACUGAAGGCAAAAUUUGUGAAAGAUUCAGUGUUGGAUGGACAUGUCUACCAGGCAAAGACAGCAGCUAGUGUUCAUCACAUCUGCAGUCCGACUCUGGCAGGAUCAGGACUCGGAUGGCCAGUGCCUAUGGGGCUGAGAGUGAGGAGGGACCUGGAACCUCAUGGGGACAGGAAAAGGUCAGACAUGUGCUACGCAUCUUGCAGAAAUUCUCAGAGUCUUUUGGAAAAUCAUUUUUUGAAUGUGUGAUGCAUGUGGGAUUCAGGAUCUGGCCCAAAUUUUUUAAAAGAUCCCUAAUCAAUUAGUUGUCUUUUAAUGUGUAUAUAGUCCUUGUGGUACUGUAGCCUGGUUCAAGGGAUGUCAAGGUGGACGACUUCCUUCAUCACCAGUAGUCAUGGUGAGCAAAAUGUGCUAAUGGAGGGCUGUUUAUUUUCAAGCCAAACAUAAAAUAUUAUUUCUUCUAUCAUUGUGUUCAAGGUCUUGUAAUUGUAGUCAUUGAUUACCAGUGGGUUACGCUUGUGCAAUAAAUAAAAUACCAAGAAUCUAGAAAAGCAGAUCUGCAUAAUAAUAGAGAGAAAGAUGCUCAGGGUCUCUGUAGUUCAUUGGAAUAAAUAGAGGAAUGAAAAUGCCCAGUUGCACAGGGAAGGGCACUGCAAGGGUGAAGAAAAGAUUUGCAGUAGCAGCACUGACAGGAGGAUCGUCCCGUUAUUGAAAAUCUGGGGACGACUAUUAACUAUCAUCCUAACAAUUAAUUAAGUAUUUAGAAGGCAACUGUGUGUUGUGUCAGUGGUACACACAUAUGCUGGGUCUGCAAGUGAGUAUGAGCACUGUUGAUGAACUGUUUUAUUUCACUCUUUUGUCCAGAAAAAGAUACAUUUUCAAACCUGAUUUUUCUGCAAAAUAAUUCUGAUUCUGAGCCUUUUGUUUCCACAUGCUAUGUAUGUUAUUUUUUCUUUUCCCUUCAUUACAGAUUGGUUUUUAAAUGUCAGUGUAUCCACAGGAAAAAUGUAUCAGUAAUAGUAACUGCACUGAAAUGUGCCAAAAUUUUCAAUUCAAAACACUGUGUUUAUUCAUUAUUGACUCAUCAACUUAUUGCAGCUCCUGCUUUUUAUUGCACUUCAGAUAGAAACAUUUUCAAAAUUCAAAAUAUUUUGCAGAUGUAGGAAAAAUAUUUCAUCUCACAGUUUUAAAACCAUAAAGGUGAACCAAAACCAACUUGUUGUUUCUAUUAAAAAUUUCCCUUGAUAUGAAAUGUGUCCUCUGAUUCCAGCCAUGUGGAGUUUAUAUGAUCCAUAAGCAUAAUUCGGAGGUUGUAAUCUCUCUAUCACUAUUUACCUAAAGGCCUCAUGCCUAAAGCUUGUCUGCUUUCCCUCAUACCUCAGUCAGGCAAACAAAUUAAAUUUCUUUCUCUUCAUAGAAUCAUAGAAUGGCUUGGGUUGGAAGGGACCUCAAAGACCAUCUAGUUUCAACUCCCUGCCAUGGACAGUGUUGCCACCCACUAAAUCAGGCACCAGACCAGGCUGCCCAGGGCCCCAUGCAGCCUGGCCUUGGACACCUCCAGGGAUGGGGCAUUUUCUCUUGUACAGAUCUUGCCAGACUCCUAUCUUCAAACCCUUGUUACUUCACUAAUUAUGCUAUAAUAAGUAUUAUGAAUAUUCAUUAUGCAAUUUAAGUUUAAAAAGUGUUGUAAUACAUCACUGGAGACCUUUCUCUGGGCAUCAUUCUGGGCUCCAGAGGAAAUUUUAUGUGUUCUCUUGAAGUUCCUGGGCCAUUCUUAUGGCUAUUUCUUAUUAAUUAAGAUUUCUAACUGUAAACAAAAUUAUUAAGUGUUCCCUUAAGUGAGCAUCAUUCAAAUUUUGAAAAAUGUACUUUGAAAAAUAUAAAACACAAGCACAGGAGAGAGAAAACAGCUCUUAGAAAGGGUAGAUAAUGGCAGGACAAGGGGAACUGAUUUUAAGUUGAAGGAGGGAAGAUUUAGGUUGGAUAUAAGAGGAAAGUUCCUUACUGUGAGAGUGGUGAGGUGCUGGAACAGGCUGCCCAGAGGGGCUGUCUAUGCCCUGACCCUGGAGGUGUUCAAGGCCAGGUUGGAUGGGGCCUUGGACAGCCUGGUCUAGUAUUAAAUGUGGAGGUUGGCAGCCCUGCCUGUGGCAGGGGGGUUGGAGCUUGAUAAUCCUUGAGAUCCCUUCCAACCCAAGCCAUUCUAUGAAAACACAAGCUAACAUAGGAAACUGCAUGCCACCAUACACCCUCUAAUGCUCUUUGAUCUGAAGACCCCUCACAGUUUGAAGGAGAUGGAGAAGAGCUUUCAAGAAAGGAGGCUAGAAGAGACCAGUUGAGGGCACUUUGGAGGAUGGGGAGAGGAAAUUGGGUUUUGGAGAGAGAGAGAGGGGAGGUGAAUGUGAGGGCUAUGAGGAGGUUUCAGGACACUCCAUGAGACAAAGAAGGAAUGGAAUUAGGUAGCACAGGGAUGUUUAAUGCCUCUGGAGCAGAGUUGGGUGGGAUCCUUAAGCAAAUCCCCAACCAGAUCCCCCACCAUCUCUAAUCAUUUGGGAGCCAGUGCAACCUGCCAUGUCCCUAAACUACCUCUCAAUUAACUCCUCCACCUACAGUUCACACUGCUGCCAACGUCAAUGUCUCCUAUUUGCUUCUUCCAGAAGAGUCAGGUCCUGUUCCAUGGAGAAACAGAAGGAAUUAGAGUAUCCUCCUCUCAACAAAGACAGUUCUUCCAUUUCAUGGAAAGAGGAUGCACCACUGCUUGCUUCAGUCUGCUAUAAUACUUGCAGAAAUUGCCUACAUCAUCUACAUUCAAAGCCUGCUCUGUAAUGGGCAGUGGAUAUCACUUAUGUAAUUAAGCAGAGGUAAAUAAACAUGCGUAUGGUACGCAGUUAAGCUAAUCAUCCCAGAUUAUCAGUACAGUCAGUGAGGACAUAGACAGGCUAUGCAUAGGAAUCUUGAGUGUGAUUCGUCCUCCUUAAGUAAAUGUAUACAGUAGGUCAGGAAAACUGCACCCUAAAAACACUUAUUUCUCUUCCUUGCCUAUAAGGAGAGCCCAGAGUGAUUAGCACAGCUGUAGAUAUCUAUUCUGUAGAUGCUGAAAGAGAAAUGACACAAAUUCCACCCUGAUGUCUGCAAAAACAAAUGAAGUUUGCCAUAAUGGUGGUGGUUGAGCUGUGGCUUGCAACGCACAACAGGAAUAUGUGGAGAUGCUUCUAGCUUCUCCUUGAUCAACUCUGAGCAUCAAUAGUUUGCAGAGGUGUCUCAGGGCACUUGUUGCUAAAGUCAUAAUUAGUCUGUUGGUAAGGUGGGACACAAAUCAGAUUUAGAUUCCUGAAAGAGAUGCAGCUCUUACAUUGUGGAGGAUAAAAACAGAACAUUUAAUUGCCAAAUGGACAUAUGAAUAUGUCGAUCAAAAAACUUUUUUUUUUUUUUUGGGGGGGGGGGGGGAAGUAAAAAGUUAUGUCUUAGGUGGAGGAACAACUGGCUAAUCCUUCAUAGAAUCAUUAUCCUAGAAUCAUAGAUUCAUUAAGGUUGGAAGAGACCAAGAUCAUCUGCUCCAACUGUCGACUCAUCCCCAGCAUGCCCACUAAAUCAUACCCCUCAGUGCCUGAACUCUUCCAGGGACAGUGACUCCACCACCUCCCUAGGCAGCCUGUUCCUAUGUGUUACUACUCUUCCUGAGAAUAAUUUUUUCCUAACAUUCAAUCUGAACCUCCCUUGGUACAACUUAAGGCCAUCACCUCUCAUCCUAACUGCUGUUACCUAGGAGAAGAGGCCGACACCCACCUCACUACAACCUCCUUUCAUGCAGUUGUAGAGACCAAUAAGGUCUCCCCUGAGCCUUCUCCAGACUGAACAAUCCCAGUUCCCUCAGUCACUCCUCAUAAGACUUCCAGGAAUUUCAAAGGCCGAAAGUCUCGGUGUUAGCAUUAGGAGAUACCAAAAUGAUCUGACCAUGUAGGGAUGCACCUUGUAGUUGUAUCAUCCCCAGUCUGAGGAGUUGGGGCCAGUGUGGAUACCCUUAUUCCAUCUCACCAAAUGAAGAGCAAAAUAGAAAACCAUUCAUGCUGACUUGCCAGCUACUGCCUUUCAAGUAUCAUUACACAUUUCACAACAAUCUUCUCCUUUUAUAAGUACAAUCACUUGUGGCUCUGGGAUCUACCUACCAACUGCUCUUUAUUCAUCAUUUCUCCAGCAACUCAUACCUUAACAACAUUACACCAGAGCAGAGCCUGUCUGUGGCUCCACACAGAGCUCGACAAUGUCCUGCCUACAUGUGGAUGGAUGGAGGCAGUCAGUAAGAAGCAACUUUAGGCACUGCCUUCUCCCUGGGAACUACAGGCAUUGACUCUGGAGCAUAUCCCAGCUCUUGCCAGCACAGUAAGCAAGAGAUUUCAUCAUAAUCAUUUUAAUAUCUUUCAAAUGUUGCAUGGACAGAUAGCAGUCCAGGAAGAAUAUACACUAGAGGGUAGUCAGGGAGCGUGAUUAGUAUUGGAAACAAGUAUUUUUCUUGGCAGAGGAUGAGCAUGCCAUUUGACAGAUAGCAAAACACGGCAAGAAUGCUGCUCAGUAGUAGCAAAUGCCAAACAUUCUCUUGUGUACACCGAAGAAACUGAGUUUUGUUUUGUCUUGUUUUGUUUUUAAGCAUAGGGGAAGGGAGGGGGCUUACCACUGUCUGCAGUAGCACACAUGGCAGUACCUGCUUCUACUGCACUGUGCUCACAGCAGCUGGGAGCAUUUUCCAUGUGGGAUGGUUCUUCUCCCAAACCAAUCUAACAGGGUUAAUAAGCAAUCUGAAAAUACUGACUGGGCUUUAAUUUCUGCUGGUGGAGAGCAAACCAUUACCAUUACCAUCUUUCACACAUACAUGCAUCUCAUCUUCUGUAUCAGUGUCUGUCAGCUGUUGAAGUCAGCCAAGAAAAAAUGGGAUUAUUUCUGAGCAGUCUGGACUUCUGAGAGCCCUUUAAAUUAAAACAAAGCUCUAUGUCAACAAAGUUUUAUUUUGGUAUGUUUUACUCCAUUGCCAUAUACUGCAGAAUAAAGUGUUUGGGUGUCUAAAGAGAAAGUUAAACAGUAAUUAUUUAAUUUUCAGAUUGUCUCUGGUAGGCAUCCAGGGCAAUGAGAUUUUGAUAAAUAUUUUAUAUGGAUUUUUACAGAAUGUGUAUCAUCUGCUCUUCUAUAUGGAAGCAGACAACUUCUUGUCUGUGGUGCCAAUGAUUUUAACCUAAGUCACAGCUUGACAGGAUAGUUUUUUUAGAAAAAAAAGCACCAGGAUAAAAAAUCAUCCCUCGGCCUGGGAGAGUGAUUUUCCACUCAGGUGCAAUGCAGCUUCUCAGAGUCACUCAGGCAAAGGCUCUGCAGUCCUGAACUGGCCUGGUUUCCUCAGCUGUGGCCUUUUUCUUAUGAGAGGACAGCUGAUUGCAUGACCCCAUGAAACACAAUUUAGUGGAUAAAUCUGGAAGGCAAAACAAAUCCUUGCUUUUGAACCAAGCCCAAGAUAAACACCUGGGUAAAAGAAGAGCCAUCACACAGCUUUUCACAGAACCAGCUCUUCCAAAGUUUGGACACAACACUUUUCAUUCUUCAUUCAUUUCUUAGGGCUUGUGAAAGUAGAAGUGUUUUCUUCAGCUCUUGAUUUUACACGUUCAGUCAUGCUACCUGCUAUGCUUGGAACAAUCUUGUACAUCCUUUCAUGAAAUCUCCUCCCACCUCUCCAUACAAUGCAUUCCCACAGCAGUGCUGCCUCUUCUUUUCCUCUAAGGUCACUGCUCUCCCUAGAAUUUGGGCCAGCUGUUACUCCUGUGGCGUUGUUCACUUUCUCCAGAUUACCCUGUGUACUCCUCAGGGAUGAAUACCUUACUACACACUGGAGAAGCAAACUGAAGUCCAACCAAAGUUAAUGGCAAAAUUCCCAUCAACUUCAACAGAGCCAGGAUUUUGCUCAAAGUAUUCAAAUGAGUCCUUCGCUGGGCGUCUGUGAUGCAGAUAUUUCUGUGUCCAAGGGCAAAUUGUAUCUCCUAUCUACAUGUAAAGCAGACCGGACAGCUAAUAUUUUCAGUGUAGUAUUUCUGUCUAAAAUAAGCAAUUUUGUCUGAUAGCAAUAUAGAAUUUUAUAUAGCAUGUAAAAGCCUGAUUAUAUAAAGCUUUUUGUUCUUUUUUUCCACUUCAGUUGGCAAAUAUAUAUUUGCAGAUAUCUUAUCUAUAUGUUGCUGUUUCCUUGAGCACCUCAAACAAUAAAUCGAAACAUGCCUCAUGGUAACAUUGUUGGGUAUUUUUCUCUCACCCACAUACAUACCUACAAAGGUUUAAAAUACAACUUUUGAAAAGAUUCAGGACUGAAGGGGGAAAAUAAUCUUAUUAUGCAACAAUUAAUUGUCCUGCCAAAUGUGGGUGCCUUGGAAGCUUGAACAACCCGCCAACACACCUGUGUACAUUGGCAUUAAGUUAAAUCAAUAACAAAAAAAAGGCCCGCAGCCAAUUACCUGUCACAUGGAGAUUCAUUUUAAGUGGAGGUUUUACAAGCAUAACUUGAAUCAUAUCAUACUUACAAGAUAGUCCGUAUAUGAUAUUUACAAAGAUAUUUGAAUUGAGAAUAACAUUGAACCAAAAAGCUGUGUAUUACAAUGUCAUUAAGAAGCAAUCAACAGCCACAGUAGCAAUUAAUUUUCUGUCACAACAGAGAACAGUAAUUUACCAAAAUACAGAUAGGAGCAAAAAGAAAUGUGUUUUCUCUAAAUUGCAAUUUCUUGUAAUUAUUAUCAUACAUUAGGCCAGGAAAAAUGUCAUUUCCUACUUCCUGUCUUUCACUGUCUUGAUAUAUAUGCCUCACGUAUGCCCAUUUAUUGCUUUGUAAUUAUUUUCCAAAUAGUUCUUUGGUUGUUUAAAAACAGCUCAGCCUUAUUUCUUGUAUUUUUUUCCAGUAUAUGAAGAAAUUACAUGAUUACUAUUUCCUCCUUUACAGUGAUUGCCAAACCAGGUUCAUGAACGUAACAAUCAUGCAGUAUGGAGUAAACAGGAGUCAGAAGCACAGUUCUGUCCCUCUUCCAGUUCUGCCCAUCAAGGCACAUCAGACAUCAAGGAUGGUCUCGUAGGUAGUUUUCAUAAUGGGAAAGGACCUAAUAGUGGUAACAAAGCCUUGAUGUGCAAGAUGCUGUAUGAAUCUUCAGCCCCCAUCCAUUUCAGUAGAUGUUAAAGGUGCAAAGUAUUUGGCCUAAUUCAUCAACUUGUCUUUCUCUACUUACUUCUUCACCACAGAGUAACUCAAAAAGUCACUGUAGGUUUUGAGUUGUUCUCUGCAGUCCUGUAUUCUAGAUUCUAUUUUUUUUUAAGGUAUAUUCAUUUAUUAGUAUGAAUCAUGGUCAAUUUAAAAAGCUUUCAUGUUAAAGACAGUACUCAUAAAAUCUAUAAUGGAUAUUUCAUCCAUUUUCCAAGAAUUCUGAAGAUCAUUUUUUAAUCAUGAUGAAUCAACAGCUCCUUCUGACACAGCACUGUUUCUCCACCAAGGCCAUUGCAUGGCAUGCAGGCAUGCUGUCAGAGCAGAACCAGCUUCAGGAUGUGCUAUGACUUGACCUGCCUGCAAGAGAGGAUAGAACAUCCUGUAACUUAAGAACUCUUCCAGCAAUCCUCCAAUUGUUUCAAAAUUAUUUGAUAAAAAUGCAAUUUAGGUCCUCUUGAGGUUCAUCUUAUAGGGAAAUAUACCUUUACAUUAAUACACUGGUAUAAGGCUAGAAUGUAACAGAUGAGAACUGCAGUUGUUCUAACUACUGUAAUGUUUUGUGAGCUGGGAAGAUUUCAUUCCACUUCACUAUGAAUUUGAUCAAGUUAAAUUUCAGUAAGAAAAAUGAUGGUAACAUAAUGCCAAAGAUCCAUUAAACAAGAUCUUACUGCACUAAGUGUUGCAUAUAUUGAAUUAAAAGAUUGCCUUACUGUUGUGGUUUAACCCAGCAAGUGGCAAAGCACCACACAGUCAUUCAUUCACUGUUCCUCUUCCAAGUGGGAUUGGGGAGAGAACUGGAGUUGCGCCAGGGGAGAUUCACGUUGGAUAUUAGGGAAAAUUUCUUCUCUGAAAGAGUGAUCAGGCACUGGAAUGGGCUGCCCAGGGUGGUGGUGGAGUCACUGUCCAUGGAGGUGUUCAAGAAAUGUUUAGAUGUUGUACUGAGGAACAUGGUUUAGUGAGGAAAUAUUGGUGGUAGGUGGAUGGUUGUGCUUGAUCUUGGAGGUCUUUUCCAAUCUUAAUGGCCUCAAUGACUAUGAACUAUCAUUAAAAGUGACACUCAGGAGAACAGUUCCAACUGUUCACAAACAUGUUUUCCCUGUCAGACUUGAUUUUCUAUAUUUCCAUAAUUUUUUACCAUAAACUCUGUGUUUUAUAAGAUUGUCUGUAUAUUUGAGGGUUCUCUUCUGAAGAUGUUAUUCCAGAAUGGUUUUAUUCUUUAAAUAUUAAGGUGAAGAGAAUCAAAGAUUUUACACCCUUCCUCUCAAGCUGCCUUAUUCUUCAAAAAAUGUUUAGAAUUGCAUUAACAUCUUGUAAAACUAUAACAUUAGCAGCUAGAAGUCAUUGUUAAAGCUUGAAGACACUGUCAGUGAAGUCACAUUAAUUAAUGUUUCCUGUGUUAAUGUAUCUAAAUCUUAACUGUAAUUGAGUAGUUACAUCAGCUAGGUUGUCCUUUUUACUUUUUCAGACCUUAAGCAGUAUUGAUGAGUAUUUCCUGUUAUCUGAAUAACAAUAUACUCCAGGAUUGUAAAGGUAAUGUGUCCAUUAGCAGUAAGUCUCUCACUGGCCCUUACAGCUCCCACAUCCUCGUUGGAAAACAGGGCCACAGUCCUGAAGACCUGAGGCUGUUUUAAGCUCCUCAAAUAAAGACGUUUCUCUCAAAGCAGAGUUAGAAGCUGAAGAUAACAGAGUGCAAUAGGACUUGUGAAAAGGAUGUCAGCAAUGUCAGUUGUCAUGGUUUCAGGUCUGAGAGAACGUUAAGUUUCUGAACUUGUUCUGUUAUCAGAGCCACUCUCAGUUCCCCAUUUAUUGCCAAACUAUGUAGACUCAGAGAAGCUGGAAACAUGAGGGACCUGUCUGGCAUCUGAGUUCAGACUCUUUCAGGAAUGCUCCAUACCUAAGUUUCCAAAACAUACCAAGUGCUAAAUGGCUUCAUCCAGGGACCCUUGAAGCCACUGAAGUGCAAUGUAUCAUUGAGGUGCUUUUCUCGUCCAAUAAUUCUAAUUUUUGUAGAGUUACUUAUAAGGUCUUGCAUCUGCAAAGCAGAAAAAAAGAUUGAGAAAACUUUAUUUCCAAAAAUUAAAAAUUAAAUAAAGGUUAAUUUAAUAAAGGUGAUCGUAUUUCAAUUAAAAAAAAAAAAAAAAAAAAAAAGUACAGUUCCUUUUCACGGUUUUAACAUCAGAAAUGUUUAAACAGCCAACACCUCCCAACCAGGUAUCUUUUUUGAAGCAUCUAUAUAUUGAACAAAAUAGUUAGGAGUUAUCAUAUCUACUGCGACCUAGUAGUAUUUUUGAUACAGGAUUUCAGAUCAAUUAACAGAGGGUCACAGAGUGAGAACUACUUAAGAGUGUGUCCCAGGUAGGGCACUGCCAAUGGCACAAGCCAAGCAGAACGCAGGAAUUCAUCCUUGAGAUCCAACUGGAAGAUGUCAUUGAAAUGCCACAAGUUCUGUCUGCCAGACUUCAAGUUGACAGGAUUGAGAGCUUCCCUCUUUGGAAAAAAAAAAAAAAGACAACAGAUAAAGAUGCCUCAGUGGAAAUAUGCCAGGUUUCUAUGCAAUCACUCACCUCGUCAAGCUGGAAUAAUUUCCACAUUGCUCCAUCAUACAUUGACUCGAAUUACACUAUAACUUUGAAAUCAACAUUUUCUAGUUGUCUCCUUGAAAACUUCUCAAAAUGAUCUUCUUAUCCUUUCUGUUUUCUUGCAUUCUGAUGCUGAUUUCUUGCAUUCAUCUGAUGCUGAUUUCUUGCAUUCUUCUGAUGCUCAUCGUAUUUGGAGUACAGUAUCAGCUGCAACUGAGGAUACAAACCGAUACAUAUACUGACUACAGAUAUGUUUGCAUUUACACUUGUGUAUGCGUACUGCAUUGCAGUGGAAAAAAAAAAAAACGUUUACUUAAGUGAAAUUGGUAUUACUCUGUUCUCAUAUGGCUAUGCAGAGGGCACGGUUACCUUCCAGUGGGAAAUAGAUACCAUAGAGGCAUUUAACAUCAAGCAGUUGACGGUGAAACUACACACGCUUUCAUAUAAAAUGCCACGGAACUAAGUUACUGCAUUCUUCAAUAUUCUUCUCUGAGACCACUUCUAACUUUUAUGAUCCCUCUAAUUCAAACUUAAGUAAUAGAGAAUGUGUCAAUACAACUUUCCCUUUAAGUAUUGCUAAGGAGCAUGCAGGAGCCCACAUGUUUGCUUAACUGGCCCUGCAACCAACACUGCUAACAAUAAAACCAGAAGUUCAAACCCAGUUCCUUGCUUUCAAGUAUGCCCUUCAAACAGAAAAUACCAGUUUGUCAUCCUUCUAAAACAAAGUGCAUGAUAACCAGGAAUAAAUCUAACGUAUCUACCCCAUCAUUUUACUGACUUUUUUCAACACAUACUUUCUACCAAAGGUAACAGCUACUCAUGGCAUAUAUGCGUGUGCAUUGGUAAGCAUGCCUCAGAGACAUACAACCUCCCCCACCCUGCAUUUUCAAGUGCUAUAACACACUGCCUGCUUCCUAGUCCUGCAAAUACCCUUGAAGUGGAAUAAUGUUUAACAGAGGGCAAUACUGCUGGAGAACUGCCAAAGAAAUGAAGGGUGAGGGAAGCCAGUCAAGGCAUUCUGAUGAAUAUUUUUGUAUCUCCAAAGACACAACUAUUAUGCAAACAUUGACCUGUUUGUCAAGCAAUCACAGUUUACUAUUGCUUAAAGGUCACAGAAGUUUCUAAGAUUAUUAAAUAAUGCAUGGAGCCAAAGACCAAGGAUAUUAUUUAAACAGUGGAGGUAACUUUUGUUAGUGAAGGACAAUACGAUGACAAUGCCCCUUUAUUUUCCCUUGAAAAUCUCUAGAGUUUGCACUGUAAUAUAGUAAUGGCCCGUUUAAGCUGAAAGAAGGAACUCUGCUGCGGAAAUGUGGCUCAGUACUACAAUAAAAUAUUACAUGCAUUUUUCUCCCCCUUUCUCUACAUUUGUUGGUACAUGAUUUAUGUUUUUCUACAGGCCUUUCUCUGGUGCUAGGGAGCAACAGUCUCUCCAGCAGUCUAUACACAUAUAUUUGUGAAUGCAAUGAUCAGUCCCCAUUUGUCUUUCCAAUGUGGAUUAUAAUCCAGUGCAAAAAUUGUUUUGCAACAAUUGAGAGUAUGUGCUGUGCACACAUAAACAGGAAUCAGCAGAGGUUUGCAAAACCUAGUAUCAACUUUGUCAUCUGUUGAGACUGCUUCAUGAUAAGAAAUCCCACACUUACAGUUUCCCAAAGGCUGCAGUCCCUUCUAUUCUCACUAGGCCUUCCAGGUCAUCUCUUCAUGGUCUUCAGAUAUUCCCAAACUCCAGCUAGGUGAGUGAUCCCUUCCAAUGCAAAGAAUUCUGCUCCAUGACCUUCAGUUUCCAGGUAGCUGCCCUUUUGACAGAGACCCAGAAGGAUACAUUUCCCCCAUUUCACCAAGCAGCUACCAAGUUGUUCUGAAAGCUGCAGUGAGCUGGCCCUGGGAUCUUCAUCAGAAACUACAAGCAGAUAAUCUCAAAGGUUUUGUUCCAUCUCAGAAAUAAUCAGUAGUUCCCUCUACAUUUAUAAAGCACAGCUCUGUAUAAACUGGAAGAUAAUGGAAGUGAAGUAUUAAUGACAGAAUUUCUGAUUUAAACAAAAUGAAUAAAAAAAGAAUAGCAGUCAUGAAUUUGGGUGGAUUCUAGCACUCAGUGUUUUUUUUUCUUCUUGGUGGUACUUGGCUACUGUUGCCUCAUUUUUAUGAACAUUUAUAUUUGGAAGACUCCCCAUUAUCAUUCUGCUUGGUUGCCAACAGCAAAAGCCAUAACGACAGGUCCAAGAAGGGACAGAGAAAGAAGAACAUUUGGAGGCCAACAGAGAACUAAAAUUUCAGUUUCAUUCAUCAUGAUCAUGAAUAUGCACUCCCAUCAAAACAUUUAUAGGUGACUUACAGUAAUAUGAAAGACACCUAGCUGCCAAGAAACCUUUGGUCAUAUCACAGGGCAACCGAGGUUAUCAUCAAGAACAAAAACUAAUCUUAAAAAAAAAAUCCAAUAAAAAGACAAUAUCUCUGGACAAUUAUUUCACAUGACAAAUAUCACGACUUCAUAGAAUAACUCAGUCAUUCCAAGAAGCACUAUUUCUCCUGGAAAUCCAGAUGAAGUGAUUUGUGGAGUGGGAGGUACCUAAUAAAGCCAGUGGAAGUGUUGGCAGGGAGUUUAAUGGCACAGCACCAGAAUGACACUCCUGACCUUACAGUUUAAGCAAGAUGCCUUCAGAGGAAAGAGAAGAAAGAGCCCGUUAUUAAUGGAGUUGACAGAUACAGAAUUAAGCCUGAUAAACCCAAACUACAUUCUUCAGAGUCACCUUCCCACUGAAAACUUAUGGGCAUUUGAAAUUACAUGCAGUAACUUCAUUUCUUAUCCCAAGAGGAGGUGAGUAUUCGUUUGUAUACCCUGGAGACUCUUCAAAUAAACCACUGCUCAGGGCACUGUCUGCCAGACCCACCUUCCCUAUGAUCUAGGGGAGAAAAGCAUCAAAUGAAAGCCAGAAAGUUCACCCAUCUGGAUGCAACCUGCACGUACUAAAGUGGGCAUGUCUGUUCUGUUAGCAGAGAUCCCCAGCUCCCAGCUCAGUGCAGCGCCAGGAGGAGACGCCAUGCCAGGUCAUGAAGCCAGAUCUGUAUUCAUAGGCUGUUGAACCCAAAUAAGAAAUCCUCUCUGUCCACAUUCAGCAGUAAUACAUGGCAUGCACCCAGUGUGCUCAGGUGGAUUAUACAGAUGUGUGCAGUACCUAAACCAUGCUGCUGCCAGCUCUCCAUGGCAACUCAUUUCAGCAAAGACAGGGACACUUGUAGGAAAGCAAACUGAUGCAGGAGAAUUUAAUAAGUCUUGAGCCUACAUGAAAAUAAAGCCAAGCUUUCCUUAUCCUGUCUUGUCCUCACUGUUCAAUAAAAAGAAUGCAAGAAAAAAAAGCAAUCUGUAGAGUAUAAAUCAUGACUUGAUAAAUGUAGGUCCUUAGAAGCCAGUUGUGUAAAUACAGAUACACCUGCAGGCCCUGAUAACCAGAUUAGCAGCAACAGCUGCCAGACCAUGCAGCAACAACCAAGAGAUAUUGUUGUGUCCUGGCCAACGAAGUUUCCAGAUUGACUCUCAGGUGCUUCCCGUACAUCACUGUUAGUGAGAGCAAUGCAUCAUGAAAGUAGAUGAUCUCCAUUGAUCUUGAAAAUGUAACAUUUUUCUCUUUGAAUGUAUACAAUGCAGUUUGACACUCGCACUAGUUCACAGUACCUCCAGUGUACAAAGGGAUGAGACUUUGUCUGCUGGCAGCUGGGAAGAAUAUCUGAACAGGAAAAAAGAAGUUGUGUCUGGGUUUGGUAUGACCUCAUGUUAAAUAGUAUAUCCUUAUUGGGUAAAUAUCCAUAUCAACUGAUUCAUAGGUGUCCUGCCUUACCUGUUCUUAUUGAAAAUUAGAAUCUAAAAUUAACAAUUUUUCUUGGCAAAGCUCCACUUGAAUUACAUGAAAAAAUCUGAUGAUCCUCAGAGUGACAAGAAGUACAAGCUAGAUCUAGAAAUAUACACAGGCAUAGACAGAGGGGAAAAAAAAUCUUUUUGUCCCUACCAACAAAUCUAACAUCAGUGGUUCUAUCUCAGCACUGCUCUUGUUAUUCUUCCUAGAAAUAGAGAUAGUUCAUAGACAAUAUAAUAAAAUUUAGGUGCUUGUGACCCACUGAGACUGUUGAGCCAGGCCUUCCUUGGUGGUACAGUUCCACUGGGGCUGAGGCAGUGGUAGAGCCAGGGCUGAUAACAUCAUCCACUGGCAGCCCCCAACACAGCAAGCCAUCAACCUGCCAUGAGCAGAAGGAGGUGGGCCCAGAGACACUGCUGUAGGGCAGUUCUCCUGCAACAUUGCCAAAGCAAGACAACCAGCACCAGGCAGGACUGAAACAAGGCUCCUGGGCAUGGAAAGCAGUGGGUUGAGGCUCCCACUAUGAGUAGUAUCCUCAGGAAAAUCCUUUAUAGGAAAGUGUUUGAAUACCUUUAUAUCCAAAUUCAUGUGAUAAUCCUGCCCUAAAGGACUGGCAGGACUUAGGCAUGAACUAACCAGCCAAGAACUAGUCUUCCACCACGAGUAUCGGGUCUAGACUAAAAAGCCUGUGUUUCUACUCAUUUCUAAUGAUUCAAAUGACUCCCUUCUUGACAAGAAUAUCUACUGCAACCAAAAACAGUGAAAACUUGAUAUAAGUUGAAAUGUUGACUGUAUAGUUAAUAUGGACUGAACACCUAGUCAGAUCAAAAUAACUGAAAUAAUUGAAGGGUUACUGUAUGCUGGAUGUCUCUUGUCUUUGUGAGUAGUGGAAUGGAUACUCUCACAGGCAAGCUGUGAGGCAACAAAUUCAGCCUUCACAUUUCCAGUCAAGAGGCACUGCACUGCAGACAGAACUCUGAAGAAUAAUUACUGAUUACUAAUAUACUGUGGAGAAAUUGCUUUAUUACAAGGUGCAUUCUAACAUGCUGUAAAGAUGUACAAAAAAAAAAAAAAACAAAACAAAACAGAAAAAUUAAAUACUUAAAAGAUGAUUCUAGCUUGUUGUGGCCUGUUGCAAAGCAGUUAUAAAUUGGAGUACUUACAGCGGUUCAUGCAUGUCCCUGCAUGUUUGAACAGCAUAUCAGAGAAUUUAUUUAUCAGGGGAAAAAAAAGUCUCUGCUAAGUCAUUUAGUUCUUAAAAAGGUUCCUGUCAUUUACAGUUUUGCCAGAUUCUAUAAGGCGCAAUACCAGAUUGUCACAUGGGAAAGGCUUGCAGAUUCAAGUCCUUAUUCUUCCCUCUAGCGAGUACUGGAACGAACAAAUUUGGGACACAGAGGUUACGUCAAAGCCUUCCAACUCUUUGAAGGAUAAUUACCAUAGCUGCAUAAUCACAUGGUCUACCUUCCAUGCGUUCAUGUUAAGGAGAGGACAUUAAUCUAACUAACGCCCAGCGGCUGACAUUAUAUAUAUAUAUAUAUAUAUAUACUAUAGUUCUCUAUAAGAUAUAGCACACCACUUAACAGCUGCAGAAAACUCUUUACUACAUUCACAAACCCUUGAUGGAAAGAGCUGCUUAAUUCUUUUCAGACCUGUCAUAUUAGGUAAGAGUGUUCUGCUGCAGGAUGAUGAUGAUGCUAAUUGUCACAUUGUAUUGUUUCACUAGACAGCCUAGCCCACUACUUUAUUAUGGGUUAUGUAAGAGUUACAAGAGGUAGCCAAUAAACAGUGCACUAACAGAAUCAUUUACACUCUGAAAUGUUCAGAAGUACUCACAGGUAUGUCUAGAAGUCAUCUAAAACAACGCUUUGGUUCCAGGGGAUGGCAUGUGCUGAUGCUAUGAUCUAUGUAAGACUCUCCUCAGCAAACAAAUCACAAAGAAUGUUCCCGCAGCUCUUGGUGUCGGAGGCUUGGAGGAGCUCAUCCUCUUUCAUGUUAUGCAGUAUCCAAAGAGACUAUAGUGCAAUAUUCCCUUUUUCACUAUCUGUACAAAGGUUUUGGUUGACUGGCAAGGAAAUAAUGGAAUCAAAUGGCACAUAACAACUGGCCCUCUCCCAGCGCUUGUCCAUCUUCUUUCAGUCCAUUUGUGAAAUCAUAUGGAAAUCUCAGCAAUGUUGGGAUGUCCAAACAAGCAUGGUGAGCCUUUCAGUCCCUAUUUAAUAUAUUAAUGAUCAAGAAAUUGUGUCCUUUCUCACGUGGUUUGCAAAUCUUUACUGCUGUCAUUUCCACCGGAAAGUGGUAAAAUAUGGAAGUGUUUUGAUGGAGGGAGGAGGAAAAUCUUUUCAGAUACAGUGUAGAAACAAAUAAACACAAGACAUAGUUCCUGGUUUGUAACCAAAAUCAAUAGCCAUAUGCAGCAGGACUGAGGUCAAUUUAUGCUCCCAUGUUUCACAUAUUGACAAAAUCUGUAUUAUUGUAAUGCUGUGUUUUAUUAACCUAUGUCUAAUAAAGCUUAUACUUCAUUAAAAAGCCAUUUUCAAACAGAUUCUAUGCAUUUUAUUAAUAAAUAAAUUUUAUUACUUACUGUAAAAUCAGUAACAUAAAUAAAGUACAUUAAGCAUGUCCUUUUACCUACAGAAAACAUAUCACAACUAUUUUCCUCCAAGAUCUAAUUAGAUUAAGCUUUCAUUUUCAAAACAGAAGAAAAUACCUGGGGCAGAUCUGGCUAUAAGUCAGCACCAUACCUGUUGGCUUCUUUGUUUUGUAUUUUUGUUUAUUUGGUUAUUAUUUUACCAAGUAGCAAAUUUGCCUAUGUAAUAAACAAAAGGAGCCCUCUUGUGAUAGAGCCUACUCAAAAGUAAAAACAGAUACUCGUGAAAAUAUCAAAUGAUUAAUUUUUUUGCAUUUUUUAAACAAUUAAAUGGUGUUCAUUAAUAUUUCAUACUGCACAAAUAUUUUUAUAACCAUGCUUGCUAUCUCUGUAACAUUCAGAUAUGCCUGCAAAUGUUGAGUAGCCAUAGAUCCUAGAGUCAGGCUCUUUAUUACAUAUGCUUAUAACUAUGACUCAUAAACAAGUUCUAAACUAAAUGCAGCAUAUGCAAUUGUUGAAAUAGCACUUUGUUUGGGGGAAAUAGCGUCUUGAAUUAAUGCUAUGAUGGAAGUGUGAACUUGUAUAACAUAUCUGAGUUUCAAUUUCUUACCUUUAAAAUGGGAGAAUUAACUUCAAAUGCUGAGUAUAUCACUCUUGUAAGAGAUAACAAGUCUGGAAACCAAGGAGAGUCCACAGGGUCCUCAUUGUUGAAGCAGGACAAGAAAAUUAAUUUCCCUAGUAAUUAAUAUGUUGCCACUGCAGUAAUAGACCAACAUGACAAGGUGAAGGAUCUUAGUACGAAUAUGAUCCAACAUGAUGCUUGAGCUGCAUGUUGAAAGUAGACAUUGACAUUGAUUGUUUCAUUUCUGGGAGCCUAUCAUCCAUGGCCCUAAUUAACUGCAUUUGGAAAUCUGUGUGAGCUACCUAUGGAACAGGCUUUGUCUGUCCUUGCAUUUCUCCCUGAAUGGGGCUGCAAGGCUAAACUCUCUGGUUGCCUACUUUUACAGUGGGGACAGUUGCAAUACACAUGAGCACAUUUGAAUGGCUGCUUUAACCUUUUCAGUGAGGAGAAGAUGCUCAACCAUGAGACCUCUUGUGAAGAGGAGGCAACACGUCCCAUACCCAAUUCAUUUCACGGAGGUCAUCCAAGUGCUUUCACCAAAUUCUCUUAUUUUCAUUGUGACAUGAGAAGACAUUCUUAUUGAAGUGUGCUUAAAAGAAAGCAGUCCUUGAACUCUGGAGUGACAGAAUUUUGUCUUCGUAGUUCAGUGUGGUCUACUUAUUCCCUGUGAGAGCCGAAGCAAUGCAGGAAGCACACCUUUCCCUGCAACAAUAUGGGAGGGGCUGAUACCUGGGACCUCAGUGAAGCACAGGCUGAGUUUAUUCACAGUCCAGAUUUCCUCAUUACUCCCAUGUUAUCAUUAAUAUUUCAGAUCUCCUCAAAGUCAAAAUACCAGAAUAUCUUUGUUCUCAUGAGAAAUCCAACAGCUCCUGGGGGGAAAACGCUAUCUGGAGAAAAAUCCAGACUAGAAGUGUUUAGCUGAAAAUAAUCCCCACUUUCAUUUUAAUUUACUCAUAUUUUAAUUGGAGGGAAAGAGAUGUGGGAAAUAUUGGUGAGCAGUGAAAAAGGAAGAAAGGCAAAUUCUGUACACCAAUCACUGGAGUAAAAGGUCACACCAAGGGGCAGAAUUUCCCUUCACUACAGCUGAUAAUGUUCCUCUCUAUGGAAUAUCACGGGGAAAAAAAAUCCUAAAUUUCAGUGCUUUUCAGUGAAAAUAUUUGAUUCUUAGUCUCAAGAUUUAGACUGAGAACAGGAGGCAGUGAUGGAAUAAAUGAAAUGGAAAAAACCCUAUUAACACUCCAGGUCUCCUAAGAGUAGAAGUGACAGAACAGCCUUGUUCUUUUAAACAGAGUGCAGAGGACAUUUUAGCAGAAAACAACAACCAGCGAUAAGAUCCUAUUUGAGGGGCAUCAAUUUUCCCCUCAGGGCUCUACACAGAAAAGAACGUAACAGCACAUUUUACUCCUGCUGGAGAUGUGCUAAAGCAGCUGUCCAGUACUUGGAAUAGGAGGAAAAACUGUUCUUUGUUACUUCAGUCUUUCUCUAUAUCUGAUGCAAGUCAGAAUUCAACCUUUGCAAAAUCACAAGUUGUACUCAGCUCUGGAUUUCAGAGUUACAGACCAACUCCUCCAUCAAUUCCUAUUUCCACCAUUCCUAUUUCUCUUCGUCAUACACUGCACUGGUACCCUGCAAUCACAACUUUCCCACAGUACUGAACUUCAAACAGUAAAUCACACACAAUACCAAAGUCUCAUUGAAGAGAGGUUUCAACCCAUAGUGAAAAUUGGUCUCCUGUUUUUCUUAAAAACAGGAAUAAAUUAGUAUUUGCAAACUGACUAUAACACAUCUGUAGUAUUGAGAGCUUUGUAACAGCACCCUUCCAGAGAUCUACCCUGUGUGUGUCCUCCCUUACAUUUAAGUUUCUGAAGUGAGGAGCCGACAUCACACAAGCAAGGCUGGAAGGAGCCCUAUGACAUCACCUCUGCUAUCUUUCUUCCCCAAGGUAUCAAAAGAAGUAAUUUAAGGGCAUUCUGAUAGAUCAGAGAUAGCCACCCAUUUUGUUUGGAGAAAGUAUAUGAAAGCUUUCGUACUUCAGAAGACUAUAGAACAGGCUAGAACUUUCAGAGCAAUACUUCUAUUUUCUGGCACAUUUUUUUCUAACUCGGGAACUCUUUUCACAAGAGUUUUGAUCUCAGGUUUAUCAGGCAGUUGGGGAAGAAAAGAUAAGGACUGAAACAUUUCAAACUAACUGAAAGUAUCUGUGUAAGACUGAACCUAAGGGAAGAUGAAAACUCAAAAGUGGGCAGUUGUGUUCUUGUUUAUCCCAAUCUCACCACACCCACAUGGUAGCAAAAUAGGCCCCAUGCCGAGAAUUUGUGGCAAGAGCCUAUUGUGUGGGCUUGGAAUAAUUUAAGAAUUGACUGUCAGUCUGUUUCUUGGCUUCCAGCUAUGAAGUAAUGCUCUAAGUAGAGAGCGAUACUCUGAAGCGCUCAUUACAAUCUUUAAAGCUGUCUCAUUUUCAAUUAUGAAUAUUAAAAAGAAGUACUCAGUAAUUCCUGCAUUAUAAUUAAUAUUCCAACUUUUGGUGUGGCUUGUUGGUUUUUUAAGGUCUAUUUUUAAAGACACUCUCUUAACUUAUUCCGGAGUUAGUUCCCAACAACCAAAUAUUGUUCCUGUUUAUAUCAGUGGGGAAAGUCCCAGUGAAAAAACUAAUCAGACCGAAGUUAAUGAAAACAACACCCCCAUUUAAAACAAUGCCCUAGCCUUAAACAAUCUGCUCGCAUUGCCUACUUGUAUAAAAUUUUAUAGCCUGCAUGUUCCAACCUUAAAAAAAAAAAUCCUGAUUAUUUAUUUAUGCCCUUUUUGUUUAAGAAGUUAAAUCCCCAGAGCAUCUCAAUUUAGAUCAAAAGCAAGCUACCAAAAUUCACCUGGCACACCUGUGCCGUGUGAUUUCUUAAUUACUUGCCUAGCAUUCUCAGAGCUACAAGGCAGAGAUGCAGGGCUCGUUUAGCACAUAUUCAGAUCUCUGCAAUGAACCUUGUGUAACAGAGACUUUCCAGAGUGCCCGAGGUGGUAACCAGUGUUAAACGAUCCCAUAUCUCCACAAACACUUGCAUUUCAGCAAUUUGCUUUCUCACAGGUUUCAGAAGACAGAGAGCUAUCUUGGGGUGAGUAAUCUGGGGAAAUAGAUUGAUUUAUUUAUGAGUUUCUUGAUGAAGGUUUUCCCCGGCUAGUGAGCAGCAUGGUGUUCCUUGCGCCAGUAGAGCCUUCUCAGUUCGAAGCGUAGAAGUAGGCCUAUUAAUUAUGAUAGCCACAGGUUGUUAUUACUUACAUUUAUGAUGCAACACCCUAGGAACCAAGGGAAGAGUUUGGCCAUUUCUGUUACACCUCAGACAAGUCUUCAGUUGACAGUCAUGGACAUUAACCUAAAAAGAUGUACUCAAAACAGGAGCAUGAGGUAUGGCACAAACAAGGCUCAUCUGAGGGAGCACACCCCAAGUUUUUGCUGAGACACUUCUUCCUCUUGGCUACAGGAUGUUUCUACACAGUGAUGAGAAACUGAGUUCACAUGUUAGAUGUGACUGCUGCUAUGCUGAUAUGCACGACUGACCAUUGAUAUGCCCCUUGUCUAGCCAGAGAACAUGCACCACUUGGAUGUAGAUGGGCUCAAAUUCAUGUUCAGUUUGCACGUACACUGACAAUUGUGUACAUGCAGGAGAAGAUCAAUCAUGUCUUAAACCUCCCUAGCACUGAGCACUCCUAGCUGUGUGUCUUCAUGCACGCAGUUUUAUAUUUUAAUAGGAUAGUCACGGUAAUUUGUUCUUUACAAGCGGUUUGGAUAGCAAUUAGGCAUCAAAUAUUACAGCUGCUUCUUUGGCUAUUUGUCAUUAGUGUAAUUUCAUUAAUUGGACAAAGCAUUGACUCUGUUAACCUGAAUAUAAUUUAAACUGCUGAAAGCUGAUGGCAUCUCUCUUGGUACAGUGAAAAUACACUGCUCUGUCAGAAAGCUAAAGGCAAUUAUUACUAUUAAUAGUGCAUGCUUCCACAGCACAAAGAAACUUCAGUGCCAUCAGGAUUCCUUACAUGCAAGAGAUGAAGCAGUUGACUUGAAUCACGCACAAGAUGAACAGAUGCAACCUGUGAUCCCUGCUUUAUCAGCGUGUCAUUCACUGUGACCAUUAAUGGACACAGAAAACAUUCAAUUCGAUAAUGUGUCUUUUCAUGAAAGAUUUUAGGAGAAAAUAUUUUCAGUUGUUUGCUUCAAAAUUCAAUUUUUCAUUGAGAAACAUAUCCAUUGCCAAGAAUAUUGCCAAAAAUUGCCAAAAAGUCCCAAAUGAAACCAGAGAUGCUGAAAAGGCUCUGCGCAAGAUCUGUUUCAAGCAAAUAGAAGUCUCUUUUGGCAACACCAUUCUGAUUUGAUUACAGGAAAAGACAAGCCAGUAAAUUUUAAUUUGUAGAUUUGUAAUUUGUUCAUAAAAAUUUCAAAUAAUUUUGCAAGGAAGAUUGCCGUGUAUCUUACAGAUAAUACAAAAGAGAUCUUCAGGUACACUGAGAUUCGGUUGAUCAGGAUACUAAUUACUAAGCUACAUUUAAUUUCAAAAUUUUAAAAUGCUUGAAAACUCAACCAAUCAUCUCUGUUCCUUGAAAACACAUUGUUUUUCAGAAAUAUUACAGAAAAUCUGGGAUAUGGAGAUAUUUUUAAAGGUUGUGCUUCAUAACAAUGCAUUUCCCAGCUUCCUCUGUGCAAUAAAAAGGUAAACUAAGUUAUCAACAAGAAAUCUAUCUGCUAAAAGUUAAUAACAAACAUCUGCUGGUCUCCUGGGAGAGACAGUGGAAAAUGGGUGGGAAUUUCCAGCUUUAAGCAGCCACUCCCGCAAUGUUCAAGUCAACAGAAAAACCUGUCAGUAGAAGGUCAGAGUCAUUAGGAGAUUUUUUCCCCUGCAGAGAAAUAGAUCAGAUACCCAUAAUUUCAGAGACAUUAUUUAGGAUUUUACAAAGUUCUCACAUUAGCUGAAGCUCUUAUGUAAAGCCUACCUUUCGGAGCUACAUCUUAAAGGCUUAUAAGACCACCCUGAAAGGUGCAAAGAAGACACGAACAAGCUCUUGUCAGUGGUGCCCAGUGCUAGGACAAGAGGUGACGGGUGCAAACUGGGGCACAGGAGGUUCUCCCUGUCCAUCAGGAGGCACUUCAGUGCUAUACAGGAGACAGAGCACUGGCACGGGGACACAGAGAGGGUCUCCUCUUUGGAGAUCUCCAAAAGCCACCUGGAUGUGGGCCUGGGCACCCUGCUCUGGGUUGUCCCGCUGGAGCAGGGAUGGGCCAUAUGACUCCAGAUACCUCUUCCAACCUCGGCCAUUCCACGAUUCUGUGGCUAUAAGCAAGCAAAGGUCCCAAUCCACAAAAGAAUACAGUUUAAAAAGAUUCCUAACAUCAGCAAAGUCGAGACAAUAUGUAAUGUCCCAUAUGUUCAUGAUCCUAAGCCCCUUGCACUAUCUUAGGUAAUGCUCUUUUAGUGUCAGAAAUGUCUCAUUUGCCAAUCACUAAGAAUACAUACAUAAGCCAUUAUUUCUGUUCAGUUGAUUCAUGGUCAUUUGUUAGAUUACAGUAAUAUGAUUGUGACGCUGAGUCCUAAGAAGUCAUUAUCUAAGGUAAUUAUAAAUUCUAAAGGAGCAAAAUACUUUCAGCACAUAGAGGGAAAGAACAGGUAGUUUAAUAUGAAGUUCUGCAGGUACCUUCAGAAUGUCUGACCUGAAAGAUGCCAGGUUUUAAUGAGGAAAGAGGAUAAGUGCUGAUAUUCUGUUCUUGUUAACUUGAAAAUUUUGAGAUACUUAAAAACUUUUUUUUAUCCAUAGUUUAUAGAAAAUUUAGCUCUUUCAAUUUGCUAACAAAGUUUUCACCAUGAUAUUACGUAAUAUUGACUGUAGCAUGGUAAGACUUAAAAUGGGUAAAAACCCAUUACUAUUUUUGCAGUUUUCUUUCUUACCAAACCACUUAUUCAGCAAACAAAUAGCAUAAGGUGAUACUAUUUUCAGGUAUUUUCCUGUCUCUGGGAUAACUGCUGAAGCUUACAUCUGUAAAUAUUAGCUUAAGCAACCGGUUAAAUAUAUUUCUGGUCCUCAAAGAAAUAACUGUAGUUAUAUUUAAGCAUUCCUACUUACGAACAUUUUCACGUAAGUAUCUUCUACCAUCAUUGGCUAAUAUCUCUGCCGACCAACUGUCAUGGAUGUGGCGCAGUUCAAAUCAUCUUGCAUUUCUGUGGGUUUACAUCAUCUUAAACCUGUAUUAAUUUGAAGGUACAUUUGGCACAAUGUGAGUUUUAUGGGCAUCACUUGUAGCAUCAGCAAUUAUUGAGAUUACUUGUUUCUUCUCAUUUCAAGCAUGUUGGUGCUGCCAGUGUUACAGUCAUAUGACUAGGGUGAGCCUGACAUGUCAGACACCUGUCUGAGCUUGAAAGAUUUUUGGAAAACUUCAUCCUAAGGAGUUCAGCUUUUUCCAACACUUUGACCAUGGAAAAAUCCCCAUCUUUUUCAUGUUAAACUUCGAAGUAACCUUUUUUUUUUUUUUUUUUUUUUUUACCACAACUUUAAC